GUUGAUAUGGCCGAGUCGGUCUAAGGCGUCAGGUUCUGGUCCGAAAGGGCGUGGGUUCAAACCCACUGUCAUCA
This 74-nucleotide transfer RNA is filed under the name Brassica napus (rape). It matches the Rfam family "tRNA". From Rfam's summary of the family: Transfer RNA (tRNA) molecules are approximately 80 nucleotides in length. Their secondary structure includes four short double-helical elements and three loops (D, anti-codon, and T loops). The record is from Rfam by way of RNAcentral. Lineage: Eukaryota; Viridiplantae; Streptophyta; Magnoliopsida; Brassicales; Brassicaceae.